Molecule: long non-coding RNA, 574 nt
Organism: Chinchilla lanigera (long-tailed chinchilla)
Lineage: Eukaryota; Metazoa; Chordata; Mammalia; Rodentia; Chinchillidae
Exons: 3
Source: RefSeq, a predicted model, not a curated record
CUGAGAACACGAAGAGCAGGCAAACCGCCAUCCAGAUGUCAAUGGCUUUCACGUAGGACACCUGGAGGGAGAGGCGGAGGAAGACGCAGGAUAAACUGAGGCAGGGUGAGUCCGUCUGCCACCUGCACAGCUCCCUGCUCCUGCCACUCAAAGAUGAGGUCAUUCAUGGUGUAUCCAACUGGAUGGGAUCAGAAGAGGCAGCGGUCAGUACCCAGGAGCACGUGUGAGGCGUGUCAGACAAGAGAAUGAAUGUGUUAUGGAUAAAGUAGAAGCUCCAUUUUACCAUUGGCCCCAAUGGUACAGUUAUUCUUAUGCACGCUAAAGUUGGAGAGUUAUGGAUCUAGAUGGGUUGGAGGAAUAAAAGGAGAAACUAAAAGUUGAUGUCUGAGCAUUCAAACCAUUCUGCUUAAAGAUGACAGUUUCCAAGCAGUGAAGGAAGAGAUGCAGAAGAAUUCUAGAGUAUUGCUGCUGGUCCUGGAGUUCAGACUGCUGUGCUGUAAUACUGGCUGUGGGGGAUGAACUAAUGGUCAACUUGUAACCCCCAGCUGAACUGAAUCAGUGUGGUGCUGGGUGU